CUUCGGGAGAAGGUACGCUCUCGACGGUGAAGUCCCUUGCGGAUGGAGCUAUUGAGAGUCGCAGAUACCAGGUGGCUGCAACUGUUUAUUAAAAACACAGCACUGUGCAAAAUCGUAAGAUGACGUAUACGGUGUGACGCCUGCCCGGUGCCGGAAGGUUAAUUGAUGGGGUUAGACUUCGGUCGAAGCUCUUGAUCGAAGCCCCGGUAAACGGCGGCCGUAACUAUAACGGUCCUAAGGUAGCGAAAUUCCUUGUCGGGUAAGUUCCGACCUGCACGAAUGGCGUAAUGAUGGCCACGCUGUCUCCACCCGAGACUCAGUGAAAUUGAAAUCGCUGUGAAGAUGCAGUGUACCCGCGGCUAGACGGAAAGACCCCGUGAACCUUUACUACAGCUUGGCACUGAACAUUGACCCUACAUGUGUAGGAUAGGUGGGAGGCUUUGAAGACGGUACGCCAGUAUCGUUGGAGCCGUCCUUGAAAUACCACCCUUGUAGUGUUGAUGUUCUAACGUCGACCCCUUAUCGGGGUUACGGACAGUGCCUGGUGGGUAGUUUGACUGGGGCGGUCUCCUCCCAAAGAGUAACGGAGGAGCACGAAGGUGGGCUAAUCACGGUUGGACAUCGUGAGGUUAGUGCAAUGGCAUAAGCCCGCUUGACUGCGAGAAUGACAAUUCGAGCAGGUGCGAAAGCAGGUCAUAGUGAUCCGGUGGUUCUGAAUGGAAGGGCCAUCGCUCAACGGAUAAAAGGUACUCCGGGGAUAACAGGCUGAUACCGCCCAAGAGUUCAUAUCGACGGCGGUGUUUGGCACCUCGAUGUCGGCUCAUCACAUCCUGGGGCUGAAGUCGGUCCCAAGGGUAUGGCUGUUCGCCAUUUAAAGUGGUACGCGAGCUGGGUUUAGAACGUCGUGAGACAGUUCGGUCCCUAUCUGCCGUGGGCGUUGGAAGAUUGAAGGGGGCUGCUCCUAGUACGAGAGGACCGGAGUGGACGAACCUCUGGUGUUCGGGUUGUGUCGCCAGACGCAUUGCCCGGUAGCUAAGUUCGGAAUCGAUAACCGCUGAAAGCAUCUAAGCGGGAAGCGAGCCCUGAGAUGAGUCUUCCCUGAUACUUUAAGUAUCCUAAAGGGUUGUCGGAGACUACGACGUUGAUAGGUCAGGUGUGUAAGUGCUGUGAGGCAUUGAGCUAACUGAUACUAAUUGCCCGUGAGGCUUAACCAU
This 1214-nucleotide ribosomal RNA is filed under the name Vibrio parahaemolyticus. Its description in RNAcentral is "bacterial LSU rRNA". It matches the Rfam family "Bacterial large subunit ribosomal RNA", at positions 1734 to 2925 of the family's 2925-position model. The record is from RNAcentral. Lineage: Bacteria; Pseudomonadati; Pseudomonadota; Gammaproteobacteria; Vibrionales; Vibrionaceae.